UCCCUAGUGGCUCAGUUGGUAAAGAAUCUGCCUGCAAUGCAGGAGGCCUGGGUUUGAUUCCUGGGUUGGGAA
RNAcentral lists this transfer RNA (72 nucleotides) under Capra hircus (goat). It matches the Rfam family "tRNA". Rfam says of the family: Transfer RNA (tRNA) molecules are approximately 80 nucleotides in length. Their secondary structure includes four short double-helical elements and three loops (D, anti-codon, and T loops). RNAcentral also lists the same sequence under 1 other name. Lineage: Eukaryota; Metazoa; Chordata; Mammalia; Artiodactyla; Bovidae. The record is from Rfam by way of RNAcentral.